Molecule: ribosomal RNA, 468 nt
Filed under: uncultured bacterium
Lineage: Bacteria
Description: partial 16S ribosomal RNA
Rfam family: Bacterial small subunit ribosomal RNA
Source: RNAcentral
GACGAACGCUGGCGGCGUGCUUAACACAUGCAAGUCGAACGGAAAGGCCCUGCUUUUGUGGGGUGCUCGAGUGGCGAACGGGUGAGUAACACGUGAGUAACCUGCCCUUGACUUUGGGAUAACUUCAGGAAACUGGGGCUAAUACCGGAUAGGAGCUCCUGCUGCAUGGUGGGGGUUGGAAAGUUUCGGCGGUUGGGGAUGGACUCGCGGCUUAUCAGCUUGUUGGUGGGGUAGUGGCUUACCAAGGCUUUGACGGGUAGCCGGCCUGAGAGGGUGACCGGCGACAUUGGGACUGAGGUACGGCCCAGACUCCUACGGGAGGCAGCAGUGGGGAAUAUUGCACAAUGGGCGGAAGCCUGAUGCAGCAACGCCGCGUGCGGGAUGACGGCCUUCGGGUUGUAAACCGCUUUCGCCUGUGACGAAGCGUGAGUGACGGUAAUGGGUAAAGAAGCAACGGCUAACUACGUG